GACGAACGCUGGCGGCGUGCUUAACACAUGCAAGUCGAACGGAAAGGCCCCUUUCGGGGUACUCGAGUGGCGAACGGGUGAGUAACACGUGAGUAACCUGCCCUUGACUUCGGGACAACUUCAGGAAACUGGGGCUAAUACCGGAUAGGAAUCCUUGCUGCAUGGUGGGGGUUGGAAAGCUUCGGCGGUUUUGGGUGGACUGGCGGCUUAUCAGCUUGUUGGUGGGGUAGUGGCUUACCAAGGCGUUGGCGGGUAGCCGGCCUGUGGGGGCGACCGGCCACAUUGGGACUGAGGGGAGGCCCAGACUCCUACGGGAGGCAGCUGUGGGGAAUACUGCACGAUGGGCGGCAGCCUGGUGCAGCAACGCCGCGUGCGGGAUGACGGCCUUCGGGUUGUAAACCGCUUUCAGCAGGGGCGAAGCUUGUGGUGACGGUACCUGCAGAAGAAGCACCGGCUAACUACGUG
This 465-nucleotide ribosomal RNA is filed under the name uncultured bacterium. RNAcentral's name for it is "partial 16S ribosomal RNA". It matches the Rfam family "Bacterial small subunit ribosomal RNA", at positions 28 to 507 of the family's 1533-position model. The record is from RNAcentral.